UAAAACGUAGGAGACGAGCGUUAUCCGGAUUUACUGGGCGUAAAGCGCGUGCAGGCGGCAUGGCAAGUUGGAUGUGAAAGCUCCCGGCUUAACUGGGAGAGGUCGUUCAAUACUGCCAGGCUUGAGAGUGGUAGAGGGAAGCGGAAUUCCGGGUGUAGUGGUGAAAUGCGUAGAUAUCCGGAGGAACACCAGUGGCGAAAGCGGCUUCCUGGCCCAUUUCUGACGCUCAGACGCGAAAGCUAGGGUAGCAAACGGGAUUAGAGACCCCGGUAGUCCUAGCCGUAAACGAUGUGAACUUGGCGUUGGCGGGUUUAAAUCCGUCAGUGCCGUAGCUAACGCGAUAAGUUCACCGCCUGGGGACUACGGCCGCAAGGUUAAAACUCAAAGGAAUUGACGG
RNAcentral lists this ribosomal RNA (397 nucleotides) under bacterium enrichment culture. RNAcentral describes it as "bacterial SSU rRNA". It matches the Rfam family "Bacterial small subunit ribosomal RNA", at positions 521 to 916 of the family's 1533-position model. The record is from RNAcentral.